GAAACGCUGGCGGCGUGCUAACACAUGCAAGUCGAACGGGGGUGACUUUCGGGUCACCUUAGUGGCGGACGGGUGAGUAACGCGUGAGCAACCUGCCUUGGAGAGUGGAAUAACCGCUGGAAACAGCAGCUAAUACCGCAUGACAUAGUACCGUCGCAUGGCGGAACUAUCAAAGAUUAAUCGCUUCAAGAUGGGCUCGCGUCUGAUUAGCUGGUUGGUGGGGUAACGGCCUACCAAGGCGACGAUCAGUAGCCGGACUGAGAGGUUGAACGGCCACAUUGGGACUGAGACACGGCCCAGACUCCUACGGGAGGCAGCAGUGAGGGAUAUUGCACAAUGGGCGCAAGCCUGAUGCAGCAACGCCGCGUGAGGGAAGACGGUUUUCGGAUUGUAAACCUCUGUCUUCGGUGACGAAAAAAAUGACGGUAGCCGAGGAGGAAGCCACGGCUAACUACGUGCCAGCAGCCGCGGUAAUACGUAGGUGGCGAACGUUGUCCGGAAUUACUGGGUUUAAAGGGAGCGCAGGCGGGACAGUAAGUCAGCGGUGAAACCAUGGGCUCAACCCAUGGACUGCCGUUGAAACUGUUG
This 588-nucleotide ribosomal RNA is filed under the name uncultured bacterium. RNAcentral describes it as "bacterial SSU rRNA". It matches the Rfam family "Bacterial small subunit ribosomal RNA", at positions 30 to 638 of the family's 1533-position model. The record is from RNAcentral.